Molecule: ribosomal RNA, 497 nt
Filed under: uncultured bacterium
Lineage: Bacteria
Description: partial 16S ribosomal RNA
Rfam family: Bacterial small subunit ribosomal RNA
Source: RNAcentral
GAUGAACGCUGGCGGCGUGCCUAAUACAUGCAAGUCGAGCGAACAGACGAGGAGCUUGCUCCUCUGACGUUAGCGGCGGACGGGUGAGUAACACGUGGAUAACCUACCUAUAAGACUGGGAUAACUUCGGGAAACCGGAGCUAAUACCAGAUAACAUGUUGAACCGCAUGGUUCAACAGUGAAAGACGGUCUUGCUGUCACUUAUAGAUGGAUCCGCGCCGCAUUAGCUAGUUGGUAAGGUAACGGCUUACCAAGGCAACGAUGCGUAGCCGACCUGAGAGGGUGAUCGGCCACACUGGAACUGAGACACGGUCCAGACUCCUACGGGAGGCAGCAGUAGGGAAUCUUCCGCAAUGGGCGAAAGCCUGACGGAGCAACGCCGCGUGAGUGAUGAACGUCUUCGGAUCGUAAAACUCUGUUAUUAGGGAAGAACAAAUGUGUAAGUAACUAUGCACGUCUUGACGGCACCUAAUCAGAAAGCCACGGCUAACUACGUG